Oncorhynchus keta (chum salmon) is the source of this 1202-nucleotide long non-coding RNA. RefSeq lists it as uncharacterized. The transcript is spliced from 5 exons. Lineage: Eukaryota; Metazoa; Chordata; Actinopteri; Salmoniformes; Salmonidae. The record is from RefSeq and is a predicted model, not a curated record.
GUUAGACCACACUAUUCAACCGUGGUUAGACCACACUAUUCAACCGUGGUUAGACCACACUAUUCAACCGUGGUUAGACCACACUAUUCAACCGUGGUUAGACCACACUAUUCAACCGUGGUUAGACCACACUAUUCAACCGUGGUUAGACCACACUAUUCAACCGUGGUUAGACCACACUAUUCAACCGUGGUUAGACCACACUAUUCAACCGUGGUUAGACCACACUAUUCAACCGUGGUUAGACCACACUAUUCAACCGUGGUUAGACCACACUAUUCAACCGUGGUUAGACCACACUAUUCAACCGUGGUUAGACCACACUAUUCAACCGUGGUUAGACCACACUAUUCAACCGUGGUUAGACCACACUAUUCAACCGUGGUUAGACCACACUAUUCAACCGUGGUUAGACCACACUAUUCAACCGUGGUUAGAUCACACUAUUCAACCGUGGUUAGACCACACUAUUCAACCGUGGUUGGACCACACUAUUCAACCGUGGUUAGAUCACACUAUUCAACCGUGGUUAGACCACACUAUUCAACCGUGGUUAGACCACUGACUGUAAAGUCUUCAAGUUGGGUAUGGUUUUGGAGGUAUAAGAGCUCUGUCUGUCUGAGUGAGGAGGGGAAGAAGUGCCAAUGUGGUCAUGUUGGAGUGAGGUUGUGGUCACAUUGGAGUGAGGUUGUGGUCACAUUGGAGUGAGGUUGUGGUCACAUUUGGAGUGAGGUUGUGGUCACAUUUGGAGUGAGGUUGUGGUCACAUUGGAGUGAGGUUGUGGUCACAUUGGAGUGAGGUUGUGGUCACAUUGGAGUGAGGUUGUGGUCACAUUGGAGUGAGGUUGUGGUCACAUUGGAGUGAGGUUGUGGUCACAUUUGGAGUGAGCUUGUGGUCACAUUGGAGUGAGGUUGUGGUCACAUUGGAGUGAGGUUGUGGUCACAUUGGAGUGAGGUUGUGGUCACAUUGGAGUGAGGUUGUGGUCACAUUGGAGUGAGGUUGUGGUCAUAUUGGAGUGAGGUUGUGGUCACAUUUGGAGUGAGGUUGUGGUCACAUUUGGAGUGAGGUUGUGGUCACAUUGGAGUGAGGUUGUGGUCACAUUUGGAGUGAGGUUGUGGUCAUAUUGGAGUGAGGUUGUGGUCACAUUUGGAGUGAGGUUGUGGUCAUAUUGGAGUGAGGUUGUGGUCACAUUUGGAGUGAGC